CCCUGUUGCAAAACCUUGGAACCUUAGUCAAUGGAGGCCGAACAACACAUCUGUUGAAAACAGCAUUAACUAAAUUAAAUCUCUAGGAGGAGUUCGUUAAAGUACAGCGCCUGGAAAUGGUAAAAAAAACCGACCCAAUAUUCAAGAUGGCUGACUUCCUGUUGGGUUUAUGGUAUACCUCCAAGCGGCUUUUUUUUUUUUUUUUUUUACGUCUCAACAUGUUCCAUUUACCAAACCAAAUUUCAUACAUCUAGGUGAAACGUGUCGCCGGGGAUACUCAAUAGGGGGCGCUAUCGAGCCAAUUUGCUAAACCCGAGCACGAAACCCAUAUCAGAUAUCUAUUUCACGCACGUUUGACACAUGUGCAU
This is a long non-coding RNA of Sebastes umbrosus (honeycomb rockfish), 368 nucleotides long. RefSeq lists it as uncharacterized. The transcript is spliced from 3 exons. The record is from RefSeq and is a predicted model, not a curated record. NCBI's taxonomy places the organism in Eukaryota, Metazoa, Chordata, Actinopteri, Perciformes, Sebastidae.